GGAAAUGUGGGCACGGACGCAGAAACCAGACAGAUGAAUGCCCACAGUGGGUGGCCAGGCCCUCCUGAGCCUUCUGUCUCUCCGUGAAACAGGAAGCAGGGCCAUUGCUCAGAGUGCAAGAGGGCAGAGAGAGAAGAAAGUGAGAAGGACCAGCCAGCAGGGGCACACGGAAGGUUCGUGCCUAUGGACUGCAUUUCAUACCUCCAGUUACCACAGAGUGAAUUAUGGGAAAGGACAUGCGUGACCGGACGCGGACCUGACUCAGCUGCCUGUCAGUCACGUCUUCAAUCACGCCCUGGACGACUCAGUGGGAGGCGCUCUAGACCUGGCCGGACAUCUUAAAUUGUUAAACCCAACACCUCAGCGCUUGUGACAUUUUCCUUUCAGCCACCAGGAGCCGCUCCCUCUGAGCGUACCAUCACCUGAUUAAAGCUGCUGCUGUUUCUUUACUGUAGUGUGCCACUUGCAGCUCUUUGUUCAUCAUGCACAAGAACCUAGGAACCCGUCUGCGAGGGACCUUGCCACCCACGGGCUGUGCACAGAGCGCCCACCUCGCUGUGAAUCCCGGGGUGGGGAGCAGCAGGCAAGAAAGGGGUGUCCCCCUCACCGCACAGCCCUCCUUCGGAAGAGUGUGGGGCGGCUUCCAGAAGCAGCCAUGAGCAGUCCUCCCACCCACACCUGGCUGAGGCCCAAAGCUGUGUGUGGCCAAGUGACCAGGGACUGAAACUUAUGAAACCCGGAGCCAAAAUAAACCUUUCCUCCUUAGAAGGUCCUUUGGAUGGGUGGAGGUACAGCAACCAUCCUCAAUCAUGAGGAUGAAAGGCAGGUGCUACACAUCGUGCAGGAAGCAGACAGGAGUCUAGAUCUUGCUGAAACUCCUAAGCUGAAGCUCCAGCCCCUGGCUGUCAACUCUAAACUUAAGUUUUCUACAUAAGACAAAAAUAAAGUCCUUGUUUAAGCCUUUGCUCUUCUACUUUUUAAUUACUUGGCAACAGAAUGCAGUCCUAACUGAUAAACAGCCCAUCCCAUAAAAACCCGGGAACUUAUUCAGAAAUCCCAGCACCCCUUCCAGCCAGGGCAGCCCAGCCUGGGCCACAGGGUGUAGAGACACAGGCUCAGAGAGGUUAGGUGACUUGCCCAGUGUCACACAGUGGGCACAGAGCAGAGUCUGGUGUCACAGUCAGAUCUUCUGACUCAGGGACACUGCCUUUUCUCUGAUACCAGAGUGAGUACAGGUGGGCAGAGAUGUGGAGGUUCAGAAACCAAAGAUUCAUGGGGCGGGGAUUUAGCUCAGUGGUUUCGCCACCUGCUGUGCAAGCGCAAGAACCCGA
Heterocephalus glaber (naked mole-rat) is the source of this 1331-nucleotide non-coding RNA. Lineage: Eukaryota; Metazoa; Chordata; Mammalia; Rodentia; Bathyergidae. The record is from RefSeq and is a predicted model, not a curated record.